GUUUAGGGUGCUAAUUAUUUCAUCCAGAAAACCCUACAAUUAUUGUCAGCUUUCAGUGUAGUCAGAAUAUUCCUAUAGGUUAUGGGAUACAAUUCAGGAUUUAACUAAUGUUUCUGCUAUUUUCUCACUUUUCCUUUUGAUGGUGCGGAAAGAGAAAAGGAAAACGGGGCACAGGCCAUUCGCCGCCUUCUCCAGGGGUCUGAUUUGCUGAGACACCAGCUCCACCUUCCUAACAAGGUGCAGCUCAGUGGAAGAUGAUGACAACCAGAAGACAUGAGCUAAGGUUUCUGUCCUAUAAAAGAUUAAAAAAAAAAAGAAUUUUUCCUUUUAGUUUUUGUCUUAAUUUUUUAGUUUUCAGCACUAUAAUUUGGGUUUCAUUAGUGUUUGGUACUUAGAAUAGUAGUGCUAAUUGUGGUGUUCAUCUGUAAAGUGCUUGUUUUAUCAUACUGCUUGACUCCUUCC
RNAcentral lists this long non-coding RNA (462 nucleotides) under Heterocephalus glaber (naked mole-rat). Its description in RNAcentral is "lncRNA (ENSHGLG00000047053.1)". The record is from RNAcentral. Lineage: Eukaryota; Metazoa; Chordata; Mammalia; Rodentia; Bathyergidae.